Peromyscus maniculatus bairdii (prairie deer mouse) is the source of this 369-nucleotide non-coding RNA. NCBI's taxonomy places the organism in Eukaryota, Metazoa, Chordata, Mammalia, Rodentia, Cricetidae. The record is from Ensembl.
UUUAGUGGGAGGAAUCUCGGCUGGAGUGAUGGAUGGCGUGGACAGCUGCAAUACAGCAUGAAAGGAGUGUGGGCUGGAUGGACUAGUGGACGUGUGUGUGUGUGUGUGUGUGUGUGUGUGUGUGUGUGUGUGUGUGUGUGUGUGUGUGUAGUGUGAAGGCGAGUGUGUGUCUAUACCCAUGUCUCUCCCUGUGCCUACACCUUGAUUCUACUUGAUCAGGUAAGUCCUGUGUCCCCCACCCCCAGCCCACAGGACCAUCCUAAAGUGAAAAACCAAAUUUCUGGGACUUCCCUUCUUGAGCACUGUGCAGUGAGACCCCAGGGCAGUAUCAACAGGAAAAUAAAGAAAUUUGUAUUUAUUCGUAUUCCA